This 787-nucleotide ribosomal RNA is filed under the name uncultured Thelephoraceae. Its description in RNAcentral is "eukaryotic LSU rRNA". The stretch from base 212 to 366 matches the Rfam family "5.8S ribosomal RNA". Lineage: Eukaryota; Fungi; Basidiomycota; Agaricomycetes; Thelephorales; Thelephoraceae. The record is from RNAcentral.
ACGUAGGUUAGUCUACUGCAAGUUGUUGCUGGUCCUGCAAGAGUGGGGGCAUGUGCACACUCUGUUUACACAUCCACUCACACCUGUGCACUCACCGUAGUUCUAUGGCCUGGGGGGGCUCUGUCCCUCUUGCUGUGGUUCUAUGUCUUUACACACACACACAGUAAUAAAAUUUUACAGAAUGUGUUGUGCGUUUAACGCAAUACAAUACAACUUUCACCAACGGAUCUCUUGUGUCUCUCAUCUAUGAAAAAAGCACCGAAAUGUGAUAAAAAAUGUGAAUUGCACAAAUCUCUGAAUCAUCUAAUCUUUGAACGCACCUUGUGCCCUCUGUGUAUUCCACAGAGGAUGUGUGUGUGAGAAUCUUGAACACCUCUCCUCUUGCGGUUUUGCCGCGAUGAGAUUGGACUUUGUGGGUCUUGCUGUGCUGUGGGCACCUCCUCUCACAUGAAACACCUUGUGACAGUGUGGGGGGGCCACGGGUGUGAUAACUAUAUACACUUGCGGCUUCCACCACGUAACCUUCACAGAGGGAGGUUCUCUGGAGAUCAUAUACGUCUCUCCUCUCAGAGGACAGCUUCUUGAAUGUGUGAUCUCUCAUCACGUAGGGCUAUCCGCUGAAAUUAUACAUAUCUAUAAACGGAGAAAAAGAAACUAUAAAGGAUUCCCCUAUAAUCUGCGAGAGAGACGCGAAAAGAUCUCAUUUAAAAUCUGGGGUGCCUCUGUGCGCCCCAGAUGUAUACUCGAGAAACGUCUCCUCCGCUGUACAGCGUACACGUCUCCUGUG